UACGUAGGGUGCAAGCGUUGUCCGGAUUUAUUGGGCGUAAAGAGCUCGUAGGCGGUUUGUCGCGUCGGCUGUGAAAACUCGGGGCUCAACCCCGAGCCUGCAGUCGAUACGGGCAAACUAGAGUUCGGCAGGGGAGACUGGAAUUCCUGGUGUAGCGGUGAAAUGCGCAGAUAUCAGGAGGAACACCGGUGGCGAAGGCGGGUCUCUGGGCCGAUACUGACGCUGAGGAGCGAAAGCGUGGGGAGCGAACAGG
RNAcentral lists this ribosomal RNA (253 nucleotides) under uncultured bacterium. RNAcentral's name for it is "partial 16S ribosomal RNA". It matches the Rfam family "Bacterial small subunit ribosomal RNA", at positions 524 to 776 of the family's 1533-position model. The record is from RNAcentral.